RNAcentral lists this ribosomal RNA (1289 nucleotides) under Vibrio sp. Its description in RNAcentral is "bacterial SSU rRNA". It matches the Rfam family "Bacterial small subunit ribosomal RNA", at positions 211 to 1493 of the family's 1533-position model. Lineage: Bacteria; Pseudomonadati; Pseudomonadota; Gammaproteobacteria; Vibrionales; Vibrionaceae. The record is from RNAcentral.
CCUCUCGCGUCAGGAUAUGCCUAGGUGGGAUUAGCUAGUUGGUGAGGUAAGGGCUCACCAAGGCGACGAUCCCUAGCUGGUCUGAGAGGAUGAUCAGCCACACUGGAACUGAGACACGGUCCAGACUCCUACGGGAGGCAGCAGUGGGGAAUAUUGCACAAUGGGCGCAAGCCUGAUGCAGCCAUGCCGCGUGUGUGAAGAAGGCCUUCGGGUUGUAAAGCACUUUCAGUCGUGAGGAAGGUGGUUUCGUUAAUAGCGUCUUGAUUUGACGUUAGCGACAGAAGAAGCACCGGCUAACUCCGUGCCAGCAGCCGCGGUAAUACGGAGGGUGCGAGCGUUAAUCGGAAUUACUGGGCGUAAAGCGCAUGCAGGUGGUUUGUUAAGUCAGAUGUGAAAGCCCGGGGCUCAACCUCGGAAUAGCAUUUGAAACUGGCAGACUAGAGUACUGUAGAGGGGGGUAGAAUUUCAGGUGUAGCGGUGAAAUGCGUAGAGAUCUGAAGGAAUACCGGUGGCGAAGGCGGCCCCCUGGACAGAUACUGACACUCAGAUGCGAAAGCGUGGGGAGCAAACAGGAUUAGAUACCCUGGUAGUCCACGCCGUAAACGAUGUCUACUUGGAGGUUGUGGCCUUGAGCCGUGGCUUUCGGAGCUAACGCGUUAAGUAGACCGCCUGGGGAGUACGGUCGCAAGAUUAAAACUCAAAUGAAUUGACGGGGGCCCGCACAAGCGGUGGAGCAUGUGGUUUAAUUCGAUGCAACGCGAAGAACCUUACCUACUCUUGACAUCCAGAGAACUUUUCAGAGAUGAAUUGGUGCCUUCGGGAACUCUGAGACAGGUGCUGCAUGGCUGUCGUCAGCUCGUGUUGUGAAAUGUUGGGUUAAGUCCCGCAACGAGCGCAACCCUUAUCCUUGUUUGCCAGCGAGUAAUGUCGGGAACUCCAGGGAGACUGCCGGUGAUAAACCGGAGGAAGGUGGGGACGACGUCAAGUCAUCAUGGCCCUUACGAGUAGGGCUACACACGUGCUACAAUGGCGCAUACAGAGGGCGGCCAACUUGCGAAAGUGAGCGAAUCCCAAAAAGUGCGUCGUAGUCCGGAUUGGAGUCUGCAACUCGACUCCAUGAAGUCGGAAUCGCUAGUAAUCGUGGAUCAGAAUGCCACGGUGAAUACGUUCCCGGGCCUUGUACACACCGCCCGUCACACCAUGGGAGUGGGCUGCAAAAGAAGUAGGUAGUUUAACCUUCGGGGGGACGCUUACCACUUUGUGGUUCAUGACUGGGGUGAAGUCGUACA